RNAcentral lists this small RNA (160 nucleotides) under Chinchilla lanigera (long-tailed chinchilla). Its description in RNAcentral is "TUC338 (ENSCLAG00000019185.1)". The record is from RNAcentral. Lineage: Eukaryota; Metazoa; Chordata; Mammalia; Rodentia; Chinchillidae.
UUGACAGACCCAGUGAUCAAAGUCUUCUUUUUAUCAACUGAACAGACAUAGCACAGAGAGUAAAAAUUUUCCAUCUGCCUAAACCACUGCUCUGAAGGUUUUACCUAUAAAAUAAUGAGAGAUUUUUCAAGCUCUUUGCCUUUUUCUUUCUCUUGAGAGA